Homo sapiens (human) is the source of this 1347-nucleotide long non-coding RNA. Lineage: Eukaryota; Metazoa; Chordata; Mammalia; Primates; Hominidae. The record is from Ensembl.
AGCUGUCCAAUGGCUCCUGGAGCCAGAGAGAUGGCACCCAGCAUGCUGCAGUCUAGCCUCUCCCACUGACCACCUGAGCCUGCUGAAGCUGGCUUAUAUAAGGCUUUGGAAAGAGAAAGGGCUUUGGUGACUCUCUGGAAAUCAGGAAAAACUGUUCCAAGAUGUGUGUUAGAGAAGGUCAGGAUCUCGUGUUUAAUAAGCAGUUUUAGGCCUGACUUCUCUAAGGACAGUGUGUAUGGGCCUGUUUUCCCCCAGUACAUAGGGUCAGAGUCCUGCCAGCAAUAGCCAAAACAUGGUAGAAUCAGUCAAGAGAUCUAACAAAAGUGCUCUUGGAGGAAGAACUUCAGAGAAAGAAGCAAAUUUUAUGCUGAGAAAUCAUGAUUCCACACUCUGGAGUGAGAACUCUAGAUAGUUUACUCUGUGGUCACUUACUCGUAUUUCUACAUAGAUGGAAGGUCUCGGCCCUGGAGUUCUGGUCUACCUUUCUGCUCCUUUUUCUCCAAGGAACAGACCAGCUUCCGCAGGAAUGAACCCAGAAAACAGUCUACAACUAUAUUUCCAGCACAGGGGCUGGCACACACUGAGUGCUGAACUGAACUGAACAGAUGCUGUAAGCAAGAAAGAGUCAAAUUUUGCAAGAUUUUACUGAGGAGGAAGGCACUACCUCAAAGCCAGGCUGCACAGACCAGAUGGAGGGCCUGGGUUGAAGAGCUAGCAGAAUAUUCUGAAUUCACAGUGGUGUGACCCUACAAGGACCAAUUUAUAUCUUCACCUCAUGUAUGGAUUAAAUAAGAUAGCCAAUACUCAAUUCCGGGGAGUGAUAGACACAUUUGUAAUCCUGCAUCAGAAAGUACAAAGCGGAGUGGUUUCCCAACAGCCAAACGUGGGGUGAGGAGGAGACUGAGAAAGGCUUCCCACAGGGGCUACUGCAUGAGCUGGGUCUUGAAGGAGGAGUAGACCUUCCCAGGGAUGGAGACAGGGUGGAUCCCUAGGAAAGGAAACAAGCCAGCAAAAGAAGAGUUUCUAGAGAAAGGAGAGGAUUGAUGGGUUCACUGGUGCUCACUGGAAACUAUCAAAUUUGUAAUGUGAGCAUCCCAACAUGCAGAGGAACCAGAAGUUCAAUAUUUGAGCUGAUUAAGGAUCAAUCAGCCAGUUCCCUGGGCAGGGGAGAGACUCUGCUUCCACAUUAUCAGGGACUCAGAGAAGCUGGAUAAACGUCUCUGCUUUCUUUCCUCUGGUCCAUCCUGCUCCAGUAUCAGUGGAACUCCCAGCUAGAGGAAGAAUGUACUUCAUUUUUAACUCUGUACCAGUCUUGAGAUUUCCUUUGGCAAAAAGCAAAAACAAAAA